RNAcentral lists this ribosomal RNA (493 nucleotides) under uncultured bacterium. Its description in RNAcentral is "partial 16S ribosomal RNA". It matches the Rfam family "Bacterial small subunit ribosomal RNA", at positions 29 to 523 of the family's 1533-position model. The record is from RNAcentral.
AUUGAACGCUGGCGGCAUGCUUUACACAUGCAAGUCGAACGGUAACAGGUUAAGCUGACGAGUGGCGAACGGGUGAGUAAUGCAUCGGAACGUGCCCGGUCGUGGGGGAUAACGCAGCGAAAGCUGCGCUAAUACCGCAUACGAUCUGAGGAUGAAAGCGGGGGACCGUAAGGCCUCGCGCGAUCGGAGCGGCCGAUGUCAGAUUAGGUAGUUGGUGGGGUAAAGGCUCACCAAGCCGACGAUCUGUAGCUGGUCUGAGAGGACGACCAGCCACGCGGGGACGGGGACACGGCCCAGACUCCUACGGGAGGCAGCAGUGGGGAAUUUUGGACAAUGGGCGCAAGCCUGAUCCAGCAAUGCCGCGUGCAGGAAGAAGGCCUUCGGGUUGUAAACUGCUUUUGUACGGAGCGAAAAGGCUCUCUCUAAUACAGGGGGCUCAUGACGGUACCGUAAAAAUAAGCACCGGCUAACUACGUGCCAGCCGCCGCAGUAA